RNAcentral lists this ribosomal RNA (253 nucleotides) under uncultured bacterium. Its description in RNAcentral is "partial 16S ribosomal RNA". It matches the Rfam family "Bacterial small subunit ribosomal RNA", at positions 524 to 776 of the family's 1533-position model. The record is from RNAcentral.
GACAGAGGGUGCAAACGUUGUUCGGAAUUACUGGGCGUAAAGCGUGUGUAGGCGGCCACGUAAGUCGGAUGUGAAAGCCCCGGGCUCAACUCGGGAAGUGCACUCGAUACUGCGUGGCUUGAGUACUGGAGAGGUUGGUGGAAUUCUCGGUGUAGAGGUGAAAUUCGUAGAUAUCGAGAGGAACACCGGUGGCGAAGGCGGCCAACUGGACAGAUACUGACGCUGAGACACGAAAGCGUGGGGAGCAAACAGG